RNAcentral lists this ribosomal RNA (1187 nucleotides) under uncultured organism. RNAcentral's name for it is "bacterial SSU rRNA". It matches the Rfam family "Bacterial small subunit ribosomal RNA", at positions 20 to 1190 of the family's 1533-position model. The record is from RNAcentral.
UGGCUCAGGACGAACGCUGGCGGCGUGCUUAAUACAUGCAAGUCAAGGAGAAAAGAUAUCUUCGGACGUCUGAGUAAACUGGCGAACGGGUGAGUAACACGUAGGUAACCUGCCCUCGAGACUGGGAUAACAUCGCCAACGCGAUGCUAAUACCGGAUAAAGCACAGGAUUCGCAUGGAUUUUGUGUUAAGGUUGGCUUCGGCUUGCACUUGAGGAUGGACCUGCGCCCCAUUAGUUAGUUGGUGAGGUAACGGCUCACCAAAACUGCGAUGGGUAGCCGGCCUGAGAGGGUGAUCGGCCACACUGGGACUGAGAUACGGCCCAGACUUCUACGGAAGGCAGCAGUAAGGAAUAUUGCGCAAUGGUCGAAAGACUGACGCAGCAACGCCGCGUGCAGGAUGAAGCUUCUAGGAGUGUAAACUGCUUUUAGUUGGGAAGAACAGACAGGUUUCGAAUAGGGACUUGUUUUGACGGUACCUUUAGAAAAAGCCCCGGCUAGCUCCGUGCCAGCAGCCGCGGUAACACGGGGGGGGCAAGCGUUGUCCGGAAUUAUUGGGCGUAAAGGGCGCGCAGGCGGGAUGAUCAGUCUGAGGUGAAAUCUUUUGGCUUAACCGAAAGCUUGCCUUGGAUACUGUCAUUCUUGAGUUCGGAAGAGGGAAGUGGAAUUCCUGGUGUAGCGGUGAAAUGCGUAGAUAUCAGGAAGAACACCGGUGGCGAAGGCGGCUUCCUGGUCCGAUACUGACGCUGAGGCGCGAAAGCGUGGGGAGCGAACAGGAUUAGAUACCCUGGUAGUCCACGCUGUAAACGAUGGGUACUAGGUGUUGGUCCUUUUUAGGAUCAGCGCCGCAGCUAACGCAUUAAGUACCCCGCCUGGGGAAUACGACCGCAAGGUUGAAACUCAAAGGAAUUGACGGGGGCCCGCACAAGCGGUGGAGCAUGUGGUUUAAUUCGAUGCAACGCGAAGAACCUUACCUGGGCUUGAACCGUAGUCGAAAACCCCUGAAAAGGGGUCCUCCUUCGGGACGGCUAUAGAGGUGCUGCAUGGCUGUCGUCAGCUCGUGCCGUGAGGUGUUGGGUUAAGUCCCGCAACGAGCGCAACCCUUGCCCUUAGUUGCCAUCAGGUUAUGCUGGGAACUCUAAGGGGACUGCCCCGGAUAACGGGGAGGAAGGUGGGGAUGACGUCAAGU